RNAcentral lists this ribosomal RNA (393 nucleotides) under uncultured bacterium. RNAcentral's name for it is "bacterial SSU rRNA". It matches the Rfam family "Bacterial small subunit ribosomal RNA", at positions 77 to 490 of the family's 1533-position model. The record is from RNAcentral.
GCUAGAGUGUCAGCUAAGUGGCGCACGGGUGAGUAAUGUAUAGCUAACAUGCCCCUUAGAGGGGGAUAACAGUUGGAAACGACUGCUAAUACCCCAUAUGCCUCUAAUACAAAAGUAUGCGAGGGAAAGGAUUUUUCGCUAAGGGAUUGGGCUAUAUCGUAUCAGCUAGUUGGUGAGGUAAAGGCUCACCAAGGCUAUGACGCGUAGCUGGUCUGAGAGGAUGAUCAGCCACACUGGAACUGAGACACGGUCCAGACUCCUACGGGAGGCAGCAGUGAGGAAUAUUGCACAAUGGGGGAAACCCUGAUGCAGCAACGCCGCGUGGAGGAUGACGCAUUUCGGUGUGUAAACUCCUUUUAUUAGGGAAGAUGAUGACGGUACCUAAUGAAUAAG